UGGGGAAUCUUGCGCAAUGGGCGAAAGCCUGACGCGGCGACGCCGCGUGAGUGAUGAAGGCCUUCGGGUUGUAAAGCUCUGUGGAGGGGGACGAAUAAGUCGGAGCGAACAGCUCCGAUGAUGACGGUACCCUUUUAGCAAGCACCGGCUAACUCUGUGCCAGCAGCCGCGGUAAGACAGAGGGUGCAAACGUUGUUCGGAAUUACUGGGCGUAAAGCGCGUGUAGGCGGCUCUGAUAAGUGAGGUGCGAAAGCCCAGGGCUCAACCCUGGAAGUGCACUCGAUACUGCUUCGCUUGAGUACUGGAGAGGUUGGUGGAAUUCUCGGUGUAGAGGUGAAAUUCGUAGAUAUCGAGAGGAACAUCUGUGGCGAAGGCGGCCAACUGGACAGAUACUGACGCUGAGACACGAAAGUGUGGGGAGCAAACA
This 427-nucleotide ribosomal RNA is filed under the name uncultured bacterium. RNAcentral describes it as "bacterial SSU rRNA". It matches the Rfam family "Bacterial small subunit ribosomal RNA", at positions 355 to 774 of the family's 1533-position model. The record is from RNAcentral.